UACGAAGGGGGCUAGCGUUGUUCGGAAUCACUGGGCGUAAAGGGCGCGUGAGCGGCUGUUCAAGUCGGGGGUGAAAGCCUGUGGCUCAACCACAGAAUUGCCUUCGAUACUGGACGGCUCGAGACCGGAAGAGGUCAGUGGAACUGCGAGUGUAGAGGUGAAAUUCGUAGAUAUUCGCAAGAACACCAGUGGCGAAGGCGGCUGACUGGUCCGGUUCUGACGCUGAGGCGCGAAAGCGUGGGGAGCAAACAGG
Molecule: ribosomal RNA, 253 nt
Filed under: uncultured bacterium
Lineage: Bacteria
Description: partial 16S ribosomal RNA
Rfam family: Bacterial small subunit ribosomal RNA
Source: RNAcentral